AUUCCAUGAUGCGGCUGAUAUGUAUCCUUGAAAACGCUCCCAUGCUUCUAGAAUAGGUUCACCUUUCUGCUGAUGAAAUUCUAAAAUCUUCCCUCGUAAGAUA
RNAcentral lists this small nucleolar RNA (103 nucleotides) under Sorghum bicolor (sorghum). RNAcentral describes it as "Plant small nucleolar RNA R71". It matches the Rfam family "Plant small nucleolar RNA R71". Rfam says of the family: R71 is a member of the C/D box family of snoRNAs containing the C (UGAUGA) and D (CUGA) box motifs. Multiple nearly identical copies of this snoRNA have been identified in Arabidopsis, and it is thought to function as a 2'-O-ribose methylation guide for 18S ribosomal RNA. The record is from Rfam by way of RNAcentral. Lineage: Eukaryota; Viridiplantae; Streptophyta; Magnoliopsida; Poales; Poaceae.